UUGAACGCUGGCGGCAGGCCUAACACAUGCAAGUCGAACGGUAACAGGAAGAAGCUUGCUUCUUUGCUGACGAGUGGCGGACGGGUGAGUAAUGUCUGGGAAACUGCCUGAUGGAGGGGGAUAACUACUGGAAACGGUAGCUAAUACCGCAUAACGUCGCAAGACCAAAGAGGGGGACCUUCGGGCCUCUUGCCAUCGGAUGUGCCCAGAUGGGAUUAGCUAGUAGGUGGGGUAACGGCUCACCUAGGCGACGAUCCCUAGCUGGUCUGAGAGGAUGACCAGCCACACUGGAACUGGGACACGGUCCAGACUCCUACGGGAGGCAGCAGUGGGGAAUAUUGCACAAUGGGCGCAAGCCUGAUGCAGCCAUGCCGCGUGUAUGAAGAAGGCCUUCGGGUUGUAAAGUACUUUCAGCGGGGAGGAAGGGAGUAAAGUUAAUACCUUUGCUCAUUGACGUUACCCGCAGAAGAAGCACCGGCUAACUCCGUG
This 489-nucleotide ribosomal RNA is filed under the name uncultured bacterium. RNAcentral describes it as "partial 16S ribosomal RNA". It matches the Rfam family "Bacterial small subunit ribosomal RNA", at positions 30 to 507 of the family's 1533-position model. The record is from RNAcentral.